UAGGGAAUCUUCCGCAAUGGACGCAAGUCUGACGGAGCAACGCCGCGUGAGUGAAGAAGGAUUUCGGUUCGUAAAACUCUGUUGUUAGAGAAGAACAGCGCAUAGAGUAACUGUUAUGCGUGUGACGGUAUCUAACCAGAAAGCCACGGCUAACUACGUGCCAGCAGCCGCGGUAAUACGUAGGUGGCAAGCGUUGUCCGGAUUUAUUGGGCGUAAAGCGAGCGCAGGCGGUCAAUUAAGUCUGAUGUGAAAGCCCCCGGCUCAACCGGGGAGGGUCAUUGGAAACUGGUCGACUUGAGUGCAGAAGAGGAGGGUGGAAUUCCAUGGGUAACGGUGACAUGCGUAGAUAUAUGGAAGAACGCCAGUGGCGAAGGCGACUCUCUGGUCUGUAACUGACGCUGAGGCUCGAAAGCGUGGGUAGCAAACAGG
RNAcentral lists this ribosomal RNA (429 nucleotides) under Bacteroidota bacterium. Its description in RNAcentral is "Bacteroidetes bacterium partial 16S ribosomal RNA". It matches the Rfam family "Bacterial small subunit ribosomal RNA", at positions 355 to 776 of the family's 1533-position model. The record is from RNAcentral. Lineage: Bacteria; Pseudomonadati; Bacteroidota.